Non-coding RNA from Nicotiana tabacum (common tobacco), 2236 nucleotides. The record is from RefSeq and is a predicted model, not a curated record. NCBI's taxonomy places the organism in Eukaryota, Viridiplantae, Streptophyta, Magnoliopsida, Solanales, Solanaceae.
UAUCUCCUUCUCCCACUCCCCUGCUAUGGCUAUCAAAAAUUGAAAUGGUAACCAAUCACAUCCAUCUUGUAAAUACCAAUAGAAACAAUUUACAAUCUCCAGGAAGAUAAGGCAACUUAAUUUUAUUUAACAGGACAACAACAAUCCUUAGUCCCAAAUAAAGUUGGGGUCGGCUGUUUGUGUGACAGGGUUAAGAAAAAAUGAUGAGACUACAAACUUAUGCGGGGCUUAGUGUAAUAGCUACACUAGCUGCUAUUUAUCAUGCCUUCAGCAGUAGAGGCCAGUUUUACCCAGCAAUGGUUUAUUUAUCGACAUCUAAGAUCAGUCUGGUGCUUCUCCUCAACAUGGCUCUCGCCAUUAUGUGCAUUUUAUGGCAACUAACCAAGAAAGUUUUCCUUGGUACUCUUCGGGAGGCAGAGGCGGAGAGGCUAAAUGAACAAUCAUGGCGGGAACUCAUGGAAAUACUUUUUGCAAUUACUAUUUUCCGGCAAGACUUCUCUGUGAUGUUUCUUGCCAUGGUUACCGGCCUAUUGUUUAUCAAGUCUUUGCAUUGGUUGGCUCAGAAACGGGUUGAGCAUAUUGAAACAACUCCAGCGGUUACUAAGUUGUCCCACAUUCGAAUAGUCUCUUUCAUGGGCUUCCUCCUCCUCAUUGAUAGUAUCUUUUUGUACAACUACAUGAACCAUUUGAUACAGACAAGACAUGCUUCUGUUUCUCUCUUCUUUGCAUUUGAGUACAUGAUACUCACUACAACAACUGUUGCAACAUUCGUGAAAUAUGUAUUCCAUGUAUGUGACAUGCUUAUGGAAGGACAAUGGGAGAGGAAGGCUGUAUAUACUUUCUACUUGGAGCUUAUUCGGGACUUGCUCCACUUGACUAUGUACAUGUGCUUCUUCCUCAUGAUUUUCAUCAAUUAUGGUGUGCCUCUGCACUUGAUUCGGGAACUUUAUGAGACAUUCCGCAACUUCAAGAGUCGAGUUGCUGACUACAUACGCUAUCGAAAAGUCACCUCAAACAUGAAUGAUCUUUUUCCAGAGGCUACACCGGAAGAGCUCAAUGGAGGUGAUACCAUCUGUAUCAUUUGUCGUGAGGAGAUGACCACUGCCAAGAAACUUGUUUGUGGACAUCUCUUUCAUGUUAAUUGCCUCCGGUCAUGGCUAGAACGUCAGCACACAUGUCCUACAUGCAGAGCCCUUGUUGUACCACCUGAAAAUGGGACGAAUGUUGCAGGAUCUCGAUAUGCUCAGCAAGGCCCAGGAACAAGUUUUACACCUCAAGGUUCUCAAGCAGAUCCCAGGACAAACAGCCAUGUUAGCCAGCACCAGGCUAGACUCCAAGCUGCAGCAGCAGCUGCUGCAAUUUAUGAGAAGUCCAUUGUUUAUCCUUCUGCACAGAUGCUACCCUGCUAUCUUGGUGCUAACAUGCCUUUUGGAGAUAGUUCUUGGAACAACCUUAGUACUUCAGAUACUCAACUCGAGGCCCAUAGGAUAUCCUUACAGCAGCAGAUUGAGAUUCUGCGAAGCCAGCUCACGCUUCUACAGAGUUCAAAGACACAGAGAGCAGCUGCUGCGGUAGGAGCUUCAGAUGGCAAGGGAAAAGCAAUUUCGUUUGAGAGUGCUCAGAAAGGACAGGCUGAAGGUGCAGAUAUUUAAGGUUUGAUCAUCUGUAUAUAAAGUGCAUGUUGAAUUGUGGACAUUCAGUCAGAAUGGCAGCUGAACAAUGCUAUUUGCUAGAGGAUCUGUCAGUUGUGUUUUCUCUAGUGAUCUGGAAAUAGUUAUAUUGCUGGUAAGAGAGAUGAUUUCUGUCUUGUGAUGUAUUUGGUUCUCGAGGAUCUCCAAUUCUUGCAUCCCUGUAGAGUCUCCACUUCACUUGGGUACACAUCAGUUCAUUCAUUUAACUGAAUUUGGUCCAUUAGCAAACUAGGUAAACAGGUCAGACAGGUUCUUGAAUUGGCCUCCUUAUUUCAGCACCAGGAAUAGGUGUUAUAUGUACAGGGCAUUGGCUUGUUGUGAGGAAAUAAUUAUUGUUUACUGGUGGAAAUAGUGGUGUAUUUUCUAAGUAUGAUAUUUGGUCAGUGAUAUGUAAGGAAAUUGGCACAAACUCAUUUUUGAGAAAGCAGUUGAUUCUCUCUCAUUUGUUCUGCAGAUUCAGAUAUCUUAUUUGUCAGAAUAAUGUAUAAGUUGGUGAUUCCUCCAGCUUGUUCCCAACUCGGUUUUAUUGCAGUCAACUUGUUGAA